UAUUUGAGGACGGAACGGGCAGCCGUCGCCCCUCUUUGCAGAGGUUAGGAGAUGUGGGAAUGUCACCCCACCAAA
RNAcentral lists this non-coding RNA (75 nucleotides) under bovine gut metagenome. Its description in RNAcentral is "skipping-rope RNA". It matches the Rfam family "skipping-rope RNA". From Rfam's summary of the family: Firmicutes, Fusobacteria, AlphaProteobacteria, Spirochaetes. Downstream gene The record is from RNAcentral.